RNAcentral lists this transfer RNA (25 nucleotides) under Scincella lateralis (ground skink). RNAcentral's name for it is "partial tRNA-Thr". Lineage: Eukaryota; Metazoa; Chordata; Lepidosauria; Squamata; Scincidae. The record is from RNAcentral.
UAAAUAAACAGCCUUAGUAGCUUAA